Molecule: non-coding RNA, 842 nt
Filed under: Engaewa subcoerulea
Lineage: Eukaryota; Metazoa; Arthropoda; Malacostraca; Decapoda; Parastacidae
Source: RNAcentral
GUGGAGUUUGAUUCUUGCUAGGAGAUUUUGUUUUAUAGUUAUAGGUGUAUAUGUGAGUAUUUGGUGUGUGUAGACGAGAGGAAAGAAUUUGAAAUUUUUAUGAAAAGGGGGGCGGUUGUUAAGUUGUGUCACGCAGUACAAGGUAUUAAUUAAUGGGGGGAAACCCGAUUUGGUAAAUUAUGAUAAAUCUGACUAAACUUUGUGCCAGCAGUCGCGGUUAGACUUGGGGGUUAAAUGAAAAGUUUUAGUUAAAGUUAUUUUUGUUUUGGAAUUAGGAUUUUAAUUUAUGAAAAUUAGAGGUGAAAUACAUUUGUUUUGGAAUAAAUUGAAGUAGAAGGUAAGAUUUGAGGAAGCUUGCAAAACUGGGGCACAAACUAGGAUUAGAUACCCUAUUAUGCUUGAAGUAAGUGAGUAGGGGCUUGAUUAUUAAUAGAUAUAUUCUUGAAAUUUAGAGAGUUUGGCGGUAUUUUAGUCUGGUUAGAGGAACCUGUUUCGUAAAUGACACUACACGCAAUAUCUUGCUAAUUUUUGUUAUAUUGGUUUGUAUACCGCUAUUAUUAGAUAACUUUUGUAGAAUUAGUUAUUGGAAUUAGAAAGUUUAAGUAUAUUAGGUCAAGGUGCAGCUUAUAAAUUAGAGAGAAUGGGUUACAAUAAUAUUUAUUUAUAACGGAUUGCUGCAGGAAGAAUAUGGUGUCAGUGAAGGAGGAUUUAAUUGUAAUUAAAAAAGUUAAUAAGGUUUAUUGAUAUUAGAACUAAAUUAAGUACAUAUUGCCCGUCACUUUCAUUUAAGGUGAAAUAAGUCGUAACAUAGUAAGUGUACUGGAAAGUGUACUUGGAAUUAG